This 1426-nucleotide ribosomal RNA is filed under the name uncultured organism. Its description in RNAcentral is "SSU rRNA". It matches the Rfam family "Bacterial small subunit ribosomal RNA". The record is from RNAcentral.
CGUGCCUAACACAUGCAAGUCGAACGGAGCUGCUUUGAUGAGAUCUUCGGAUGGAUUUAAAACAGCUUAGUGGCGGACGGGUGAGUAACGCGUGGGUAACCUGCCUCACACUGGGGGAUAACAGUUAAAAAUAGCUGCUAAUACCGCAUAAGCGCACAGUUCCGCAUGGAACAGUGUGAAAAACUCCGGUGGUGUGAGAUGGACCCGCGUCUGAUUAUCCAGUUGGCGGGGUAACGGCCCACCAAAGCGACGAUCAGUAACCGGCCUGAGAGGGUGAACGGCCACAUUGGGACUGACACACGGCCCAAACUCCUACGGGAGGCAGCACUGAGGAAUAUUGCACAAUGGGGGAAACCCUGAUGCAGCGACGCCGCGUGAGUGAAAAAUUAUUUCGGUAUGUAAAGCUCUAUCAGAAGGGAACAAAGUGACGGUACCUGAAUAAAAAGCCCCGGCUAACUACGUGCCACCAUCCGCGGUAAUACGUAAGGGGCAAGCGUUAUCCGGAUUUACUGGGUGUAAAGGGAGCGUACACGGCAAUGCAAGUCUGAACUGAAAGCCCGGUGCUUAACGCCCGGACUGCUUUGCAAACUGUUUGGAUGGAGUGUCGGAGAGGUAAGCGGAAUUCCUAGUGUAGCGGUGAAAUGCGUAGAUAUUAGGAAGAACACCAGUGGCGAAGGCGGCUUACUGGACGGUAACUGACGUUGAGGCUCGAAAGCGUGGGGAGCAAACAGGAUUAGAUACUCUGGUAGUCCACGCUGUAAACGAUGAUUGAUAGGUGUAGGUGGGUAUGGACCCAUCGGUGCCGCAGCUAACGCAAUAAGCAAUCCACCUGGGGAGUACGUUCGCAAGAAUGAAACUCAAAGGAAUUGACGGGGACCCGCACAAGCGGUGGAGCAUGUGGUUUAAUUCGAAGCAACGCGAAGAACCUUACCAGGUCUUGACAUCCCGAUGAAAAACCCGUAACGGGGUUCCCUCUUCGGAGCAUCGGAGACAGGUGGUGCAUGGUUGUCGUCAGCUUGUGUCGUGAGAUGUUGGGUUAAGUCCCGCAACGAGCGCAACCCUUAUUCUUAGUAGCCAGCAGGUAAGGCUGGGCACUCUAAGGAGACUGCCGGGGAUAACCCGGAGGAAGGUGGGGAUGUACGUCAAAUCAUCAUGCCCCUUAUGAUCUGGGCUACACACGUGCUACAAUGGCGUAACAAAGGGAAGCGAGCCUGCGAGGGUGAGCAAAUCCCAAAAAUAACGUCCCAGUUCGGACUGUAGUCUGCAACCCGACUACACGAAGCUGGAAUCGCUAGUAAUCGCGAAUCAGAAUGUCGCGGUGAAUACGUUCCCGGGUCUUGUACACACCGCCCGUCACACCAUGGGAGUCGGAAAUGCCCGAAGUCUGUGACUCAACCGCAAGGAGAGAGCAGCCGAAGGCAGGUCU